This 756-nucleotide ribosomal RNA is filed under the name Paenibacillus jamilae. RNAcentral's name for it is "bacterial SSU rRNA". It matches the Rfam family "Bacterial small subunit ribosomal RNA", at positions 21 to 757 of the family's 1533-position model. The record is from RNAcentral. Lineage: Bacteria; Bacillati; Bacillota; Bacilli; Caryophanales; Paenibacillaceae.
GGCUCAGGACGAACGCUGGCGGCGUGCCUAAUACAUGCAAGUCGAGCGGGGUUCGUUAGAAGCUUGCUUCUAACGAACCUAGCGGCGGACGGGUGAGUAACACGUAGGCAACCUGCCCACAAGACAGGGAUAACUACCGGAAACGGUAGCUAAUACCCGAUACAUCCUUUUCCUGCAUGGGAGAAGGAGGAAAGACGGAGCAAUCUGUCACUUGUGGAUGGGCCUGCGGCGCAUUAGCUAGUUGGUGGGGUAAAGGCCUACCAAGGCGACGAUGCGUAGCCGACCUGAGAGGGUGAUCGGCCACACUGGGACUGAGACACGGCCCAGACUCCUACGGGAGGCAGCAGUAGGGAAUCUUCCGCAAUGGGCGAAAGCCUGACGGAGCAACGCCGCGUGAGUGAUGAAGGUUUUCGGAUCGUAAAGCUCUGUUGCCAGGGAAGAACGUCUUGUAGAGUAACUGCUACAAGAGUGACGGUACCUGAGAAGAAAGCCCCGGCUAACUACGUGCCAGCAGCCGCGGUAAUACGUAGGGGGCAAGCGUUGUCCGGAAUUAUUGGGCGUAAAGCGCGCGCAGGCGGCUCUUUAAGUCUGGUGUUUAAUCCCGAGGCUCAACUUCGGGUCGCACUGGAAACUGGGGAGCUUGAGUGCAGAAGAGGAGAGUGGAAUUCCACGUGUAGCGGUGAAAUGCGUAGAGAUGUGGAGGAACACCAGUGGCGAAGGCGACUCUCUGGGCUGUAACUGACGCUGAGGCGCGAA